AUACUAUGAUGAGGGCACUUCCUUAAUAGCUCUUUGACUCUCUCCCAUGCAUCAUACAACGAUUCCCCUUUCGUGUGAUAGAAAUUAUUAAUUUCCCCUCUCAGCUU
This is a small nucleolar RNA of Humulus lupulus (European hop), 107 nucleotides long. NCBI's taxonomy places the organism in Eukaryota, Viridiplantae, Streptophyta, Magnoliopsida, Rosales, Cannabaceae. The record is from RefSeq and is a predicted model, not a curated record.